AGAUGGAGCAGGAAAAGCUCAUAUGGUGGCCAGCCCUUUGUGGUCUGUGUGUUCAAGCCUGGGGGUGGCUUCAGCUGAUUCCUCAAGUUACUGAGGAAUUGAUGAGUUAGUGCAUGGAAAGCGCUUAGAACCAACGGUGCCAGCGCAGAGGACGUGCUUAGGAAGGUUAGCCAUUUGUUAUUAUGAAUAAGUUGCUUCCCUCACCAAAAGUGGAAGUUGGGGUGCUGUGGGGGCCCAGAGAGGAAGGUGGGGAAGGAGGGGGUCUCUGCAGGGUAGGUUAGUUUAUGUAUGUAGGUUUUUAUUAAUUUUUAAUUUUUUUUAGGGCUGCACCCGCGGCAUAUGGAGGUUCCCAGGCUACGGGUCAUUUCAGAGCUGUAGCUGCUGGCCUACACCACAGCCACAGCAACACCAGAUCCGAGCCGUGUCUGCGACCUACUACACCAUAGCUAUGGCAACACCAGAUCCUUAACCCACUGAGUGAGGCCAGGGAUCGAACCUGAGUUCUCAUGGAUACUAGUCAGAUUCGUGUCUGCUGAACCAUGACAGGAACUCCUUUGUAUGUAGGUUUUGAUUUUCACUUGGAACGCUGUUCUGAAUUCUGCUAAGGAAUCCUCUUGCAGUCCAGAAAGGGAGAUGGGAGUGGAGUCCGUGGAUGUUCUGAUUCCUUCCAGAGCUCUCAGACUGAGCUGCUAAAUCCAGCCUCAAAGAGGGUGUGAUUCCUGAUGAAGAGCAGCAGACUCCUCUCUCACCAGCCUGUCACCUCUCCACUAAAAGCUCUCAUCCUUUAGCAACCUGUCUUCAUGGGAAGCUACCCCUGGCCCUCCCAUCCCCCUCAUAAGCAUUUAGGAACCCCAGGGGUCUCAGUGACUUACAGCCAAGAACUGUGCCUGAGAACCUGGGAAGGGCUUUCACCUGACCUGGGAGAGCACAGGAUUCCAUCAGCAACUUCUUCUGGAAAAUUACUGAACCAACCUGUCCCCAGCCGUCUCCUUGGAAUUGUUUGCUAUUUGAUUCUUAAAGUGGACACAUGUUCUGUCCCAGAUGCAUUCCCAGGAGCAGUCAGCUUGUCCCUGUGUGGGCAGGGCCGUGAGGUUCUGGAACGCACUAGCAGUUUGGUCUGAUCUAGGUUCAGAGGCUGAGCAGGGCCUUACCUUGGAGCCCUUUCCUGCCCCUUCACGCUGCCCUUGCUGGGGCACAUCUGUGAAGGAGGAGGAACAGGAGGCACAUCUGGGAAGCUCUACCCUCAAGGGGGGUCACUCUAGCCUCCUGGAGGUUUGGGCCCAAGAUCCACGGGUUCUGCUCGCCCCCCCCCACCCCCACCCCAGAGUUCACAGCCUCAGCCAAACCCAGUAGCUGCAUUGGGAGCCUGGGCCUGGCCUGUGUGGUGCUCUGACUGCAAGGAGGGCGAGAUUCAGAAAUUGGGAAAACCAGGCAUAUGGCCAUGUCCUUGUGCUGGGAGGAGGAAUGGGAGCUGGGAAUAAGGGAGGAAAAUGUAAGAUAGAGAUGAUGACACCUGCAGAGAGAUGCAGUAGGGGGGAUCUAGAGAGAGACCAGGCACCCCGAAACUCUUGGAAAAAGAGUCAGACAAUGGGUCAGACGGACCCACAGGAAGGAAGGUAGAAGAUGGUCACGGUCGCUGUCAAGUGCAUCCCGAGUGGGUACCAGGUGCCAAGACGAGCACCUUGCAUAGUCUAUCUCAUUUAAUCUUAGUAAUAGUACUAUGAUAUAAGUACUGUUCUCUGAAUGUCCCAAACAAUUCAGAAACAAUUCAGAAAGAUCAGAUAUCUUCUCUAAGGUCCCACAGCUUUUGGUGGAAAAUCAGGACUAGAACUCGGCUCCCCUUUUUUUGCAAAGCCCAUAUGCUGCCCCCUUGCAGAGAGGCCAUGACCUUGGGAGUGUGGCCAGUGGGGCGGAGCGCCCCUGAGCCUCCUGCAUGCCUGGAGGCAUGAAGCCCUCUCUUUUGUAGUCAAGAUGUGCUCAUAAAGAGACUGCAGAGAAAGGAGUUCCCAUCGUGGAUCAGAGGAUCAUGGAAACGAAACCAACUAGGAAGCAUGAGGUUGCAGGUUCGAUCCUUGGCCUCGCUCUGUGGGUUGAGGAUCCAGCGUUGCCAUGAGCUGUGGUGUAGGUCGCAGAUGCGGCUCGGGUUUGGCUUUGCUGUGGCUCUGGUCUCAGCUCCCAUUAGACCCCAAGCCUGGGAACCUCCAUAUGCUGUAGGUGUGGCCCUCAAAAGACAAAAAAAAAA
Molecule: long non-coding RNA, 2242 nt
Filed under: Sus scrofa (pig)
Lineage: Eukaryota; Metazoa; Chordata; Mammalia; Artiodactyla; Suidae
Description: lncRNA (ENSSSCG00040030037.1)
Source: RNAcentral